UGGCUGGGGGUGAAAGGCCAAUCAAACCGGGAGAUAGCUGGUUCUCCCCGAAAGCUAUUUAGGUAGCGCCUCGUGAAUUCAUCUCCGGGGGUAGAGCACUGUUUCGGCAAGGGGGUCAUCCCGACUUACCAACCCGAUGCAAACUGCGAAUACCGGAGAAUGUUAUCACGGGAGACACACGGCGGGUGCUAACGUCCGUCGUGAAGAGGGAAACAACCCAGACCGCCAGCUAAGGUCCCAAAGUCAUGGUUAAGUGGGAAACGAUGUGGGAAGGCCCAGACAGCCAGGAUGUUGGCUUAGAAGCAGCCAUCAUUUAAAGAAAGCGUAAUAGCUCACUGGUCGAGUCGGCCUGCGCGGAAGAUGUAACGGGGCUAAACCAUGCACCGAAGCUGCGGCAGCGACGCUUAUGCGUUGUUGGGUAGGGGAGCGUUCUGUAAGCCUGUGAAGGUGUGCUGUGAGGCAUGCUGGAGGUAUCAGAAGUGCGAAUGCUGACAUAAGUAACGAUAAAGCGGGUGAAAAGCCCGCUCGCCGGAAGACC
Molecule: ribosomal RNA, 538 nt
Filed under: Escherichia coli
Lineage: Bacteria; Pseudomonadati; Pseudomonadota; Gammaproteobacteria; Enterobacterales; Enterobacteriaceae
Description: partial 23S ribosomal RNA
Rfam family: Bacterial large subunit ribosomal RNA
Source: RNAcentral